GCUCUCCAGCUCUGCUACCCACCAGGUUGGCUGGGGGCUAGCCACCUUACCAUAUCAGCUAUCAACGUUUCUGGCUAUAGUACUUUUGUUUUUUGGGGGGUUGAGAUGGCUAGCUGCCUCCAUCAACCACCACAUAUUUCACAAUAAAACUGCAGCGCGUUGCCACAGUGCGUCGCUCAUCAGCCACAGGCAGCAUGGCAGCAUGUGGAAGAGCUUGUCGCCAAGGGAAACGCGCCACUUCCGGCAUGGGGAAACCCGACGCUGGACCAGGCCCAACGCUUGGACCCUCUACGUCUGCAGCCACAUCACAAGGGACCAACACACCCUUUCAUCCUGCCUGUGUUUCUUUGCUUUCUUUCUCCCUCUAUCCACACAGUCAUCAGUAUCACCCUUUCUUUUAGAGCUCCCAUUUGUCCUCAGGGGGUUUAACUUUACUUCUCAGUAGUAAUAGUUUUCUUUUGACUUCCAAAUGAUUAUUUAGCAUUCCAUUUUGUAACACAUAACAGUGUUGCUGAUACUUUGAUAAGAUCUAAUUACUCUGUAAGUGUUUUUUCUCCAUUUAAGGAUAUGGUCUGGGUAAUACACAAAAAUCUACUACUGUGAGAAACACAAUUUUCCAAUGUGGGUGAUGUCAGUCUUCUUCCUAAAUUCCCUACAUUAUUUUUUUGAAAGUCAACACGAUAAGACUGAUUACUGAACCAUUUUUUUUGUCUUCUAAAUGUAAAAGUUGAAAAGGAAUAUUUAUAUCCUGACAACCCUUCGACAAAAUCAAACUUAUUAUCAACCAUGACUGAAGUUUUCCUUUCUUUUCCUUGUAACUUCAUGGCAGAUAAACAUUACAAUUUCUAUCGUAAUUGGCCACAUUAAAAUGUUUGUGACCACA
Molecule: long non-coding RNA, 883 nt
Organism: Thunnus maccoyii (southern bluefin tuna)
Lineage: Eukaryota; Metazoa; Chordata; Actinopteri; Scombriformes; Scombridae
Exons: 2
Source: RefSeq, a predicted model, not a curated record